GACGGACGCUGGCGGCGCGCCUAACACAUGCAAGUCGAACGAGCGAGAGAGAGCUUGCUUUCUCAAGCGAGUGGCGAACGGGUGAGUAACGCGUGAGGAACCUGCCUCAAAGAGGGGGACAACAGUUGGAAACGACUGCUAAUACCGCAUAAGCCCACGACCCGGCAUCGGGUAGAGGGAAAAGGAGCAAUCCGCUUUGAGAUGGCCUCGCGUCCGAUUAGCUAGUUGGUGAGGUAACGGCCCACCAAGGCGACGAUCGGUAGCCGGACUGAGAGGUUGAACGGCCACAUUGGGACUGAGACACGGCCCAGACUCCUACGGGAGGCAGCAGUGGGGAAUAUUGCACAAUGGGGGAAACCCUGAUGCAGCGACGCCGCGUGGAGGAAGAAGGUCUUCGGAUUGUAAACUCCUGUUGUUGAGGAAGAUAAUGACGGUACUCAACAAGGAAGUGACGGCUAACUACGUG
Molecule: ribosomal RNA, 466 nt
Filed under: uncultured bacterium
Lineage: Bacteria
Description: partial 16S ribosomal RNA
Rfam family: Bacterial small subunit ribosomal RNA
Source: RNAcentral